This is a long non-coding RNA of Syzygium oleosum, 1021 nucleotides long. RefSeq lists it as uncharacterized. The transcript is spliced from 3 exons. The record is from RefSeq and is a predicted model, not a curated record. NCBI's taxonomy places the organism in Eukaryota, Viridiplantae, Streptophyta, Magnoliopsida, Myrtales, Myrtaceae.
GCCUUGCUGUCAUCUUGGUUAACUAUAACAAAGAGGACAAGUUACAAGUGCUUUAGAAGAGCUUGUAAAGUGUAUCUUAUCAGUUAGUUUGUACCACUAACGAAGUCUUUUGCCAAUGUCAGAUUUUAGCAUUACCACUUUACCAGCGCAAAGGUUGUGGCCGCUAUUGGAACAGAAAUGGUGAUUCGAACUGUCCCUGCUGAGACUUUAAAGCAGUUUUAUCAGAAAUGAUACCGGUUAUGUCAUGUGGCAGUAAUAGCUGUUGGAGACUUUCCUGAUAAUCAGGUUUGGUAUCAUUGUAUGUCAACUUCCCAUCCCAAAGCACCGUGUUUAGUUUCCAAAAUUCCAGGAUUACUAAAGCUCUCCUUCUCCAUGACAGAGUGUUGUGGAUAUGAUAAACACUCAUUUCAGGCAGAAAGGCGCAGUCCUCGACAAACAACGAAUUCCUAACAAUUCAGUUCCAUCUCAUGGCGAAUAUCGGUUUUCAUAUUUUGUUGAAUGUAAAGCUGCUGCAGUGAGUGCAUGAGUGUGGUAAUGAUCAGCUACAAAAUGCCAGCUGAUGAUUUAAAAACCAUGAAGGACUACAAGGACUUGCUCAUAGAAUCCGUGUUUCUUCAUGCCCUAAACCAAAGAUUCUUCAAGCAAUCUCAGAGGAGAGAUCCGACCUAAUUCUCAUGUUCAGCUGAUUCAGAUGUCUUAGUUCGUCCACUAAAGGCGUACAUGACAACAGCAUUGUGCAAAGGAGGACGAACCAUGGAGGCUCUAGAAUCAAUUCUCUUGGAGCAAUAGGUUUGUCUAUUGCUUGCUAUACUCGAACCAUUUUAUCUUGGUGAAAGUUAAGUUGUAAGCAGUCUAACCUUCUUCACUGUAUCCUGGAGGUCAAGCAAUUUUCAAAGAUGUUCUACUAAGUCUUUGUUGCUGCAGGAUACUCAGCUCUAGAAUCUAUUGAUCAUGAACAAAAAAAAAUCUAAUUGAACCUGAAGGUGCCAAUUUUGUUCACUUGUUUCCCUUGAUGAGCACU